UUAAUUGAAACCAAAUAGAGGUAAAUUAUUGUUAAUAAUUUUAUUGAAUAAAAUCAUUCCAAUUAGA
This 67-nucleotide transfer RNA is filed under the name Scydmaeninae sp. BMNH 1274313. Its description in RNAcentral is "Scydmaenidae sp. BMNH 1274313 tRNA-Asn". The record is from RNAcentral. Lineage: Eukaryota; Metazoa; Arthropoda; Insecta; Coleoptera; Staphylinidae.